GACGAACGCUGGCGGCGUGCCUAAUACAUGCAAGUAGGACGCAGUUGCGAACGGGUGAUUAACGCGUAGGUAACUACCUAUUAGAGGGGGAUAACUAUUGGAAACGAUAGCUAAUACCGCAUACUCGUAGAUGGACCUGAGUUGUAUUAGCUAGUAGGGAGGGUAAUGGCCUACCAAGGCAACGAUACCUAGCCGACUGGAGAUGGUGAUCGGCCAGCCUGGGCAUGAGACACGGCCCAGACUCCUACGGGAGGCAGCAGUAGGGAAUCUUCGGCAAUGGGGGGAACCCUGACCGAGGAACGCCGCGUGAGGGAAGAAGGUUUUCGGAUCGUAAAGCUCUGUUGUUAAGGAAGCGGUACUUAACCAGAAAGGGACGGCUAACUACGUGCCAGCAGCCGCGGUAAUUC
RNAcentral lists this ribosomal RNA (407 nucleotides) under uncultured bacterium. RNAcentral describes it as "partial 16S ribosomal RNA". It matches the Rfam family "Bacterial small subunit ribosomal RNA", at positions 28 to 526 of the family's 1533-position model. The record is from RNAcentral.